RNAcentral lists this transfer RNA (70 nucleotides) under Fusarium oxysporum f. sp. melonis 26406. RNAcentral describes it as "tRNA-Val (GAC) (tRNA-Val-GAC-1-1)". It matches the Rfam family "tRNA". Rfam says of the family: Transfer RNA (tRNA) molecules are approximately 80 nucleotides in length. Their secondary structure includes four short double-helical elements and three loops (D, anti-codon, and T loops). Lineage: Eukaryota; Fungi; Ascomycota; Sordariomycetes; Hypocreales; Nectriaceae. The record is from RNAcentral.
CCUAAGGUGGUGUAGUGGUCUAGCAUUCUGACUUGACAAGGAGACCCGGGUUCGAAUCCUGGUUUUAGGA